UACGAAGGAUGCAAGCGUUAUCCGGAUUCAUUGGGUUUAAAGGGUGCGUAGGCGGACCAGUAAGUCAGUGGUGAAAUCUCUUUGCUUAACAAAGAAACUGCCAUUGAUACUGCUAGUCUAGAGUAUAGAUGACGUUGGCGGAAUAUGACAUGUAGUGGUGAAAUACUUAGAUAUGUCAUAGAACACCGAUUGCGAAGGCAGCUAACGAAACUAUAACUGACGCUGAGGCACGAAAGUGCGGGGAUCAAACAGG
This 253-nucleotide ribosomal RNA is filed under the name uncultured bacterium. RNAcentral's name for it is "partial 16S ribosomal RNA". It matches the Rfam family "Bacterial small subunit ribosomal RNA", at positions 524 to 776 of the family's 1533-position model. The record is from RNAcentral.